This 1082-nucleotide long non-coding RNA is filed under the name Zostera marina. RNAcentral describes it as "long non-coding RNA (ZMAR_LNC000014)". Lineage: Eukaryota; Viridiplantae; Streptophyta; Magnoliopsida; Alismatales; Zosteraceae. The record is from RNAcentral.
UUGAGAGUACCCGACCCCCUCCUUUUUUCCGCCUUUCUGCGAUAGGGGCUGAGUGUACUUCCUCGUCUACCCGCGUUCAUCCGUGGGUGAGGACUAUUAUUUGAAUACUUGCCCCCUCCUUUUUUCCGCCUUUCUGCGAUAGGGGCUGAUUGUGCUUCCUCGUCUACCCGCGUUCUUCCGUGGGUGAGGAUUAUUAUUUUAAUACUUGCCCCCUCCUUUUUUCCGCCUUUCCGCGAUAGGGGCUGAUUGUGCUUCCUCGUCUACCCGCGUUCUUCCGUGGGUGAGGACUAUUAUUUGAAUACUUGCCCCCUCCUUUUGCUCGCCUUUCUACGACUGAGGCUAGGCGUGACUCCUCGUCUACCUACGUUCAUCCGUAGGUGAGGAUUGUUACUUGAGUACGUCCCUCGUUUAACCUACGUUCUUCCGUAGGUGAGGUUUACUCUUGAGUACGUUCCUCGUCUAACCUACGUUCUUCCGUAGGUGAGGUUUACUCUUGGACACUUGCCCCUCUGUCUAUAUUUUUGUAGAAUGGGGUGUGUGUUUAGCCGACAUGUUCCCCGUCUAACCUACGUUCUUCCGUAGGUGGAGUUCAUUUUUGCCGAUGUGUUCCCCGUCUAACCUACGUUCUUCCGUAGGUGGGGUUCACUUUUGAGUAUGUCCCUCGUCUAACACUACGUUUCCGUAGGUGAGGUUCGCUCUUUGCCGCUGCGUUCCCCGUCUAACCUACGUUCUUUCGGAGGUGGGGUUUAUCUUUGUCGAUGUGUUCCCCGUCUAACCUACGUUCUUCCGUAGGUGGGGUUCACUUUUGAGUAUGUCCCUCGUCUAACACUACGUUUCCGUAGGUGAGGUUCACUCUUCGCCGUUGCGUUCCCCGUCUAACCUACGUUCUUCCGUAGGUGGGGUUCACCUUUGUCGAUGUGUUCCCCGUCUAACCUACGUUCUUCCGUAGGUGGGGUUCACUUUUGAGUACGUCCCUCGUCUAACACUACGUUUCCGUAGGUGAGGUUCACUCUUGCCUUAGAUGGGAUACGCAUUCUGACUCUGUUACCAUUAAGACUUUCUCUAUCCACGUUCUUCCGUAG